Molecule: ribosomal RNA, 478 nt
Filed under: uncultured bacterium
Lineage: Bacteria
Description: partial 16S ribosomal RNA
Rfam family: Bacterial small subunit ribosomal RNA
Source: RNAcentral
GAUGAACGCUGGCGGCGUGCCUAACACAUGCAAGUCGAACGGAGUCCAGCCUUUAAGACCUUCGGGUCAAAGAGGGGAAGACUGAGUGGCGGACGGGUGAGUAACACGUGGGCAACCUGGCUCAUAGAGGGGGAUAACAGAGAGAAAUUUCUGCUAAUACCGCAUAAGCACACCCUGCCGCAUGGCAGAGGGUGAAAAGAGAAUCGCUAUGAGAUGGACCCGCGUCUGAUUAGCCAGUUGGCAGGGUAAGAGCCUACCAAAGCGACGAUCAGUAGCCGAUCAGAGAGGAUGAACGGCCACAUUGGGACUGAGACACGGCCCAAACUCCUACGGGAGGCAGCAGUGGGGGAUAUUGCACAAUGGGGGGAAUCCUGAUGCAGCGACGCCGCGUGAGUGAAGAAGUAUUUCGGGAUGUAAAGCGCUAGCAGCAGGGAAGAUAAUGACAGUACCUGAAUAAGAAGCCCCGGCUAACUACGUG